UGGGCAACCUGCCCCUCUCUCUGGGAUAACCCCCGGGGAAACCGGAGCUAAUACCGGAUACUCCGGCUGGAUCGCAUGGUCCGGCCGGGAAAGGUCCGCCGGAGAAGGAUGAGCUCGCGGCCUAUCAGCUAGUUGGUGGGGUCAUGGCUCACCAAGGCGACGACGGGUAGCUGGUCUGAGAGGAUGGCCAGCCACAGUUGGGGACUGAGACACGGCCCAGACUCCGUACGGGAGCA
Molecule: ribosomal RNA, 236 nt
Filed under: uncultured bacterium
Lineage: Bacteria
Description: partial 16S ribosomal RNA
Rfam family: Bacterial small subunit ribosomal RNA
Source: RNAcentral